UACGGGAGGCAGCAGUGGGGAAUAUUGGACAAUGGGCGCAAGCCUGAUCCAGCCAUGCCGCGUGUGUGAAGAAGGCCUUCGGGUUGUAAAGCACUUUUGUCCGGAAAGAAAAGCUUAGGGUUAAUAACCUUGAGUCAUGACGGUACCGGAAGAAUAAGCACCGGCUAACUUCGUGCCAGCAGCCGCGGUAAUACGAAGGGUGCAAGCGUUACUCGGAAUUACUGGGCGUAAAGCGUGCGUAGGUGGUUUUGUUAAGUCUGAUGUGAAAGCCCUGGGCUCAACCUGGGAAUGGCAUUGGAAACUGGCUUACUAGAGUGCGGUAGAGGGGUGUGGAAUUCCCGGUGUAGCAGUGAAAUGCGUAGAUAUCGGGAGGAACAUCUGUGGCGAAGGCGACACCCUGGGACCAGCACUGACACUGAGGCACGAAAGCGUGGGGAGCGAAACAGGGAUUAGAUACC
RNAcentral lists this ribosomal RNA (458 nucleotides) under uncultured bacterium. RNAcentral describes it as "bacterial SSU rRNA". It matches the Rfam family "Bacterial small subunit ribosomal RNA", at positions 340 to 786 of the family's 1533-position model. The record is from RNAcentral.